GUGAGGUUUAAUGCAUGUCGCCCAAAAGUGGCCCCGGUUUUGGGAGAACGACAUGCACGAGAACGAAGACCUAAAGCGCGUCGCAUGAAUCCGUUCAAACGCGACGCGCUUUAGCCAGAACAGCAAAAGGCCGGGUAAAAACCCGGCCUUUCGAAUUGCUUAGAC
This is a non-coding RNA of Mesorhizobium loti, 165 nucleotides long. NCBI's taxonomy places the organism in Bacteria, Pseudomonadati, Pseudomonadota, Alphaproteobacteria, Hyphomicrobiales, Phyllobacteriaceae. The record is from Rfam.